This 419-nucleotide ribosomal RNA is filed under the name uncultured bacterium. RNAcentral's name for it is "bacterial SSU rRNA". It matches the Rfam family "Bacterial small subunit ribosomal RNA", at positions 355 to 772 of the family's 1533-position model. The record is from RNAcentral.
UAAGGAAUAUUGGUCAAUGGACGCAAGUCUGAACCAGCCAUGCCGCGUGAAGGAUGAAGGUCCUCUGGAUUGUAAACUUCUUUUAUCUGGGACGAAAACGGGAUUUUUAUCUCAAUUGACGGUACCAGAGGAAUAAGCACCGGCUAACUCCGUGCCAGCAGCCGCGGUAAUACGGAGGGUGCGAGCGUUAUCCGGAUUUACUGGGUUUAAAGGGUGCGUAGGUGGGCUUAUAAGUCAGUGGUGAAAUCUCCGAGCUUAACUUGGAAACUGCCGUUGAUACUAUGGGUCUUGAAUUAUCUGGAGGUAAGCGGAAUAUGUCAUGUGGCUGUGAAAUGCGUAGAUAUGACAUAGAACACAAAUUGCGAAGGCAGCUUACUACAUAUAAAUUGACGCUGAGGCACGAAAGCGUGGGGAUCAAA